This 518-nucleotide ribosomal RNA is filed under the name uncultured bacterium. Its description in RNAcentral is "bacterial SSU rRNA". It matches the Rfam family "Bacterial small subunit ribosomal RNA", at positions 996 to 1509 of the family's 1533-position model. The record is from RNAcentral.
CUUAGCAGAGGAUUGGCUUUGGUGCCUUCGGGAACUCUGAGACAGGUGCUGCAUGGCUGUCGUCAGCUCGUGUUGUGAAAUGUUGGGUUAAGUCCCGCAACGAGCGCAACCCUUUAUCCUUUGUUGCCAGCGGUUAGGCCGGGAACUCAAAGGAGACUGCCAGUGAUAAACUGGGAGGAAGGUGGGGAUGACGUCAAGUCAUCAUGGCCCUUACGAGUAGGGCUACACACGUGCUACAAUGGCGCAUACAAAGAGAAGCGACCUCGCGAGAGCAAGCGGACCUCAUAAAGUGCGUCGUAGUCCGGAUUGGAGUCUGCAACUCGACUCCAUGAAGUCGGAAUCGCUAGUAAUCGUGGAUCAGAAUGCCACGGUGAAUACGUUCCCGGGCCUUGUACACACCGCCCGUCACACCAUGGGAGUGGGUUGCAAAAGAAGUAGGUAGCUUAACCUUCGGGAGGGCGCUUACCACUUUGUGAUUCAUGACUGGGGUGAAGUCGUAACAAGGUAAGCGUAGAUGA